UCUGACGUUAGCGGCGGACGGGUGAGUAACACGUGGAUAACCUACCUAUAAGACUGGGAUAACUUCGGGAAACCGGAGCUAAUACCGGAUAAUAUAUUGAACCGCAUGGUUCAAUAGUGAAAGACGGUUUUGCUGUCACUUAUAGAUGGAUCCGCGCCGCAUUAGCUAGUUGGUAAGGUAACGGCUUACCAAGGCAACGAUGCGUAGCCGACCUGAGAGGGUGAUCGGCCACACUGGAACUGAGACACGGUCCAGACUCCUACGGGAGGCAGCAGUAGGGAAUCUUCCGCAAUGGGCGAAAGCCUGACGGAGCAACGCCGCGUGANUGAUGAAGGUCUUCGGAUCGUAAAACUCUGUUAUUAGGGAAGAACAAAUGUGUAAGUAACUAUGCACGUCUUGACGGUACCUAAUCAGAAAGCCACGGCUAACUACGUGCCAGCAGCCGCGGUAAUACGUAGGUGGCAAGCGUUAUCCGGAAUUAUUGGGCGUAAAGCGCGCGUAGGCGGUUUUUUAAGUCUGAUGUGAAAGCCCACGGCUCAACCGUGGAGGGUCAUUGGAAACUGGAAAACUUGAGUGCAGAAGAGGAAAGUGGAAUUCCAUGUGUAGCGGUGAAAUGCGCAGAGAUAUGGAGGAACACCAGUGGCGAAGGCGACUUUCUGGUCUGUAACUGACGCUGAUGUGCGAAAGCGUGGGGAUCAAACAGGAUUAGAUACCCUGGUAGUCCACGCCGUAAACGAUGAGUGCUAAGUGUUAGGGGGUUUCCGCCCCUUAGUGCUGCAGCUAACGCAUUAAGCACUCCGCCUGGGGAGUACGACCGCAAGGUUGAAACUCAAAGGAAUUGACGGGGACCCGCACGAAGCGGUGGAGCGAUGUGGUUUAAUUCGAAGCAACGCGAAGAACCUUACCAAAUCUU
This 913-nucleotide ribosomal RNA is filed under the name Staphylococcus sp. RG-25. RNAcentral describes it as "bacterial SSU rRNA". It matches the Rfam family "Bacterial small subunit ribosomal RNA", at positions 85 to 982 of the family's 1533-position model. Lineage: Bacteria; Bacillati; Bacillota; Bacilli; Caryophanales; Staphylococcaceae. The record is from RNAcentral.